Molecule: non-coding RNA, 75 nt
Organism: Haemonchus contortus (barber pole worm)
Lineage: Eukaryota; Metazoa; Nematoda; Chromadorea; Rhabditida; Trichostrongylidae
Source: Rfam
GGCACAGGUUUCAAGUAGAUUGGAUAAGUAGGGCCAGCUGAUGCUACUUAUCUACCCUACUUCAAAUUUGUGCCC